RNAcentral lists this ribosomal RNA (305 nucleotides) under uncultured bacterium. Its description in RNAcentral is "bacterial SSU rRNA". It matches the Rfam family "Bacterial small subunit ribosomal RNA", at positions 334 to 656 of the family's 1533-position model. The record is from RNAcentral.
GUAUCCUACGGGGGGCAGCAGUGGGGAAUAUUUCACAAUGGGGGAAACCCUGAUGCAGCGACGCCGCGUGAGUGAAGAAGUAUUUCGGUAUGUAAAGCUCUCUCAGCAGGGAAGAUAAUGACGGUACCUGACUAAGAAGCCCCGGCUAACUACGUGCCAGCAGCCGCGGUAAUACGUAGGGAGCGAGCGUUAUCCGGAAUUAUUGGGUGUAAAGGGUGCGUAGACGGGAAAACAAGUUAGUUGUGAAAUCCCUCGGCUUAACUGAGGAACUGCAACUAAAACUAUUUUUCUUGAGUGCAGGAGAG